ACGUAUGGUGCAAGCGUUAUCCGGAUUUACUGGGUGUAAAGGGAGCGUAGACGGUUGUGUAAGUCUGAUGUGAAAGCUCGGGGCUCAACCCCGGGACUGCAUUGGAAACUAUGUAACUAGAGUGUCGGAGAGGUAAGCGGAAUUCCUAGUGUAGCGGUGAAAUGCGUAGAUAUUAGGAGGAACACCAGUGGCGAAGGCGGCUUACUGGACGAUCACUGACGUUGAGGCUCGAAAGCGUGGGGAGCAAACAG
This 251-nucleotide ribosomal RNA is filed under the name uncultured bacterium. Its description in RNAcentral is "partial 16S ribosomal RNA". It matches the Rfam family "Bacterial small subunit ribosomal RNA", at positions 525 to 775 of the family's 1533-position model. The record is from RNAcentral.